GCUAAAUAAGAGCGUAUGGGGAAUGCCUAGGCUCUCAGAGGCGAUGAAGGACGUGAUAAGCUGCGAAAAGCUGCGGGGAUUGGCACAUACAAAUUGAUCCGCAGAUAUCCGAAUGGGGCAACCCAGCAUGUUGAAGACAUGUUAUCCGCAAGGAGGCGAACCCGGAGAACUGAAACAUCUAAGUACCCGGAGGAGAAGAAAACAAAAGUGAUUCCGAUAGUAGCGGCGAGCGAAAUUGGAUUAGCCCAAACCAGUAUUGUUACGGCAAUGCUGGGGUUGUAGGACCACGAUAUUUGAACCAUAAUGAAUUAGAACGCUUUGGAAAGAGCGACCAAAGAGGGUGAUAGUCCCGUAUAAGUAAAGAUUGGUAAGAUAGUGGUAUCCUGAGUAGUGCGGGGCACGUGAAACCCUGUAUGAAUCAGUCGGGACCAUCCGAUAAGGCUAAAUACUCCUGAGAGACCGAUAGUGAACUAGUACCGUGAGGGAAAGGUGAAAAGAACCCUGAAUAAGGGAGUGAAAUAGAACCUGAAACCAUACGCUUACAAGCGGUCGGAGCAGACUUGAUCUGUGACGGCGUGCCUUUUGCAUAAUGAGCCUACGAGUUACCGUUGCUAGCAAGGUUAAGUACUUAAGGUACGGAUCCGUAGCGAAAGCGAGUCUGAAUAGGGCGCUAUAGUUAGUAGUGGUAGACGCGAAACCGUGUGAUCUACCCAUGGGCAGGGUGAAGCUGUGGUAACACACAGUGGAGGCCCGAACCGGUUGACGUUGAAAAGUCUUCGGAUGACCUGUGGGUAGGGGUGAAAGGCCAAUCAAACUCGGAAAUAGCUCGUACUCCCCGAAAUGCAUUUAGGUGCAGCGUUGAUUUAGUUUUAUAGAGGUAGAGCUACUGAUUGGAUGCGGGGGCUUCACCGCCUACCAAUUCCUGACAAACUCCGAAUGCUAUAAAAUGAUGAUCAGCAGUGAGGGCAUGGGUGCUAAGGUCCAUGUCCGAGAGGGAAAGAACCCAGACCAUCAGCUAAGGUCCCCAAAUGUAUGUUAAGUUGAAUAAACGAGGUUGAACUGCUUAGACAGCUAGGAUGUUGGCUUGGAAGCAGCCAUUCAUUUAAAGAGUGCGUAACAGCUCACUAGUCGAGCGGUUCGGCAUGGAUAAUAAUCGGGCAUAAACAUACUACCGAAGCUAUGGACUUGAAAAAGUGGUAGGGGAGCAUUGUAGUGUCGUCGAAGGUGUACUGCGAGGUAUGCUGGAGAAGCUACAAAAGAAAAUGUAGGCAUAAGUAACGAUAAUGCGGGCGAGAAACCCGCACACCGAAAGACUAAGGUUUCCUCAGCUAUGCUAAUCAGCUGAGGGUUAGUCGGGACCUAACACGAACCCGAAAGGGGUAGUGGAUGGACAACAGGUUAAUAUUCCUGUACCUGCUCACACUAAAAGUGACGGAGGCGAAAAGUUAGUGCGUACUGACGGAAUAGUACGUUGAAGCGAGUAGUAAUACCGCGAUAGUACACUGAGACUACGGUCAAGGUGAUAAUCUAGCAAAUCGACUUCCAAGAAAAGCGAGUGAAGCAGCCCGUACCCUAAACCGACACAGGUAGUUGGGAUGAGAAUUCUAAGGUGCUCGAGAGAUUCAUGGCUAAGGAACUAGGCAAAAUAGACGCGUAACUUCGGGAGAAGCGUCGCCCACAGCAAUGUGGGCCGCAGUGAAAAGGUCCAGGCGACUGUUUAUCAAAAACACAGGGCUCUGCUAAAUCGAAAGAUGACGUAUAGGGCCUGACACCUGCCCGGUGCUGGAAGGUUAAGUGGAGGGUUUAGAAGUUUACUUCGAAGAUCUCAAAUGAAGCCCCAGUAAACGGCGGCCGUAACAAUAACGGUCCUAAGGUAGCGAAAUUCCUUGUCGGGUAAGUUCCGACCUGCACGAAUGGCGUAACGACUUCCCCGCUGUCUCCAACAUCGACUCAGCGAAAUUGAAUUGCCUGUCAAGAUGCAGGCUUCCCGCGGUUAGACGGAAAGACCCCGUGCACCUUUACUACAGCUUCGCACUGGCAUCAGGAUUGUGAUGUGCAGGAUAGGUGGUAGGCUUUGAACCCGUGACGCCAGUCGCGGUGGAGCCUCCCUUGAGAUACCACCCUUCGCACUCUUGAUGUCUAACCGCGGUCCGUUAUCCGGAUCCGGGACCCUGCGUGGUGGGUAGUUUGACUGGGGCGGUCGCCUCCUAAAGAGUAACGGAGGCGCGCGAUGGUGGGCUCAGAGCGGUCGGAAAUCGCUCGUUGAGUGCAAUGGCAUAAGCCAGCCUGACUGUGAGACUGACAGGUCGAACAGAGUCGAAAGACGGCCAUAGUGAUCCGGUGGUCCCGCGUGGAAGGGCCAUCGCUCAACGGAUAAAAGGUACGCCGGGGAUAACAGGCUGAUGAUGCCCAAGAGUCCAUAUCGACGGCAUUGUUUGGCACCUCGAUGUCGGCUCAUCGCAUCCUGGGGCUGAAGGCGGUCCCAAGGGUUAGGCUGUUCGCCUAUUAAAGCGGUACGCGAGCUGGGUUCAGACCGGCGUGAGCCAGGUCGGUCCCUAUCUGUCGUGGGCGCUGCACAUUUGAGAGGAGUCUUCCUUAGUACGAGAGGAUUAGGAAGGACGAACCCCUGGUGAUCCAGCUGUCGCGCUAGCGGCACCGCUGGGUAGCUAAGUUCGGCAGGGAUAACCGCUGAAAGCAUCUAAGCGGGAAGCCCCCCUCAAGAUGAGAUGUGCUUGCUAUACGCGUGAGACCCCUGGAAGACCACCAGGUUGAUAGGCUGCAUGUGUAAG
RNAcentral lists this ribosomal RNA (2789 nucleotides) under Prorocentrum minimum. Its description in RNAcentral is "partial Bacterial large subunit ribosomal RNA". It matches the Rfam family "Bacterial large subunit ribosomal RNA". The record is from RNAcentral. Lineage: Eukaryota; Dinophyceae; Prorocentrales; Prorocentraceae.